GGUCAGUAGGUUGGUCGUGCCACCGGUACGUACUGGUCUCACUGAUUCCUCCUUCCUGAAGAACCGUAAUGCCAUUAAUUUGGUGUUGCGGGGAAACAGGACUGUUACUUUGAAAAAAUUAGAGUGUUUAAAGCAAGCUAACGCUUGAAUACAUUAGCAUGGAAUAAUGAAACAGGACGAUCGAUCCUAUUUUGUUGGUUUCUAGGAUUGACGUA
Molecule: ribosomal RNA, 215 nt
Filed under: Glomeromycotina sp.
Lineage: Eukaryota; Fungi; Glomeromycota
Description: partial small subunit ribosomal RNA
Rfam family: Eukaryotic small subunit ribosomal RNA (bases 39-215)
Source: RNAcentral